GCGCGCCGCCGCCGGUGUCCGCUGUCAGACGGUCUUCCACUUCGACCUCCAGUUCGUCCUCGGUGGUCGCAGGAUGAUGAUGUUGAUGCCAUCCGUGAGACCCGGGAAGUCCCGCUAAGGUGGUGUCUAUUUCCAAAUCUGUUGACCUUGAACUCGGCCGUAUGACUUGAUGGAGCCAAUGGAGAGUGCAGAAGUUACAAUGUGCCAGUUCCAAGCCUUGGCUUCAAGGGGCCAAGCCUGCCCCUGCUUGCACUCUUGCACCUCUGCCAUCACCAUGAGAUCACCCCUGGGAAAGCCCACUGAUCCCAGCAGGAAGAUGAGGGCAUGUGGAUCAGAGACUUGCCAGCUAAGGUGAAACAGCUCAGCCCAGGCUAGAAGAGCACCCCUGCACACACCCUCAUAACUUGCAAACUCCAAUAAGAUCAGCUAAGCCUCAGCCUUGUGUCACCUGAAUGAAGUAAAAGCUUCUGCUGUGUGCUGCUGGGGUUGGGGGAAUGUUUGUUACCCAGCAUUAUUGAAACCAUAAGUAACUCACACAGAACCCUACAGAAAUCUGUGCGGUCUUCUUCCUACUGUAUUUACAUAGUGAUCCACUACUUCAGUCAAUAAACUGCUAGCACACAGA
Long non-coding RNA from Callorhinus ursinus (northern fur seal), 625 nucleotides. RefSeq lists it as uncharacterized. The record is from RefSeq and is a predicted model, not a curated record. NCBI's taxonomy places the organism in Eukaryota, Metazoa, Chordata, Mammalia, Carnivora, Otariidae.